RNAcentral lists this ribosomal RNA (132 nucleotides) under uncultured bacterium. RNAcentral describes it as "partial 16S ribosomal RNA". It matches the Rfam family "Bacterial small subunit ribosomal RNA", at positions 355 to 504 of the family's 1533-position model. The record is from RNAcentral.
UGGGAAAUAUUGGACAAUGGGCGAAAGCCUGAUCCAGCAAUGCCGCGUGAGUGAUGAAGGCCUUAGGGUUGUAAAGCUCUUUUACCCGAGAUGAUAAUGACAGUAUCGGGAGAAUAAGCUCCGGCUAACUCC